This 487-nucleotide ribosomal RNA is filed under the name uncultured Methylibium sp. RNAcentral's name for it is "bacterial SSU rRNA". It matches the Rfam family "Bacterial small subunit ribosomal RNA", at positions 8 to 492 of the family's 1533-position model. Lineage: Bacteria; Pseudomonadati; Pseudomonadota; Betaproteobacteria; Burkholderiales; Sphaerotilaceae. The record is from RNAcentral.
AGAGUUUGAUCAUGGCUCAGAUUGAACGCUGGCGGCAUGCCUUACACAUGCAAGUCGAACGUGAAAGGGGGGCAACCCCCGAGUAGAGUGGCGGACGGGUGAGUAAUACAUCGGAACGUGCCCAGUAGUGGGGGACAACCUCGAGAAAUCGAGGCUAAUACCGCAUACGACCUACGGGUGAAAGCGGGGGACCGCAAGGCCUCGCGCUAUUGGAGCGGCCGAUGUCCGAUUAGCUAGUUGGUAGGGUAAAAGCCUACCAAGGCAACGAUCGGUAGCUGGUCUGAGAGGACGACCAGCCACACUGGGACUGAGACACGGCCCAGACUCCUACGGGAGGCAGCAGUGGGGAAUUUUGGACAAUGGGGGCAACCCUGAUCCAGCCAUGCCGCGUGCGGGAAGAAGGCCUUCGGGUUGUAAACCGCUUUCGGCCGGAACGAAAUCGCCGGGGAGAACAUCUCCGGUGGAUGACGGUACCGAAGAAGAAGAC